AUUGAACGCUGGCGGCAGGCCUAACACAUGCAAGUCGAACGAGUGGCGGACGGGUGUGUAAUGUCUGGGAAACUGCCUGAUGGAGGGGGAUAACUACUGGAAACGGUAGCUAAUACCGCAUACCAUCAGAUGUGCCCAGAUGGGAUUAGCUUGUUGGUGGGGUAACGGCUCACCAAGGCGACAAUCCCUAGCUGGUGUGAGAGGAUGACCAGCCAGACUGGAACUGAGACACGGUGCAGACUCCUACGGGAGGCAGAAGUGGGGGUUAUUGCACAAUGGGGGCAAGCUGGAUGCAGUCAUGCCGCGUGUAUGAAGAAGGCUUUCGGGUUGUAAAGUACUUUCAGCGGGGAGGCGUUACCCGCAGAAGAAGCACCGGCUAACUCCGUGCCAGCCGCGGCGGUAAUUC
RNAcentral lists this ribosomal RNA (406 nucleotides) under uncultured bacterium. RNAcentral describes it as "partial 16S ribosomal RNA". It matches the Rfam family "Bacterial small subunit ribosomal RNA", at positions 30 to 526 of the family's 1533-position model. The record is from RNAcentral.